Long non-coding RNA from Hydractinia symbiolongicarpus, 1327 nucleotides. RefSeq lists it as uncharacterized. The transcript has 2 exons. The record is from RefSeq and is a predicted model, not a curated record. NCBI's taxonomy places the organism in Eukaryota, Metazoa, Cnidaria, Hydrozoa, Anthoathecata, Hydractiniidae.
UAUGUUUUAUAUUUUGCGUAAUAAAGAAGUACAAGUUAUUUGGAAACUGUAGGAUCUUGUUUAUGGUGAAAGUAAGAGCGCUUAAAGUUGAUUCUUGCAGUUAAAAGUUCUAGAAACAUAUACUACAAAUAUUGUAAAGCGUGAAGAAAUUGUAAUCUUCAUUAUAAAAAGUUUUUUUUCCAUUUUUUUAUCUGUAAUAACUUUAUUUUAUUUCGGUCACAUGACUAAUCAUUUUCUUACCUCCGUUAAAAUAAGUAUCUUUUGUUUAUAAGAAUUAUUUGCUGGAAGUUGUGAAUGUUUGGUUAUUUAAUGGGAAUUGCCAAAAUCAGUAUAUAUUUAAAUUUUACGACUGGAAAGAAAUGUAUUUGAUCAGUAAAAUUUUGGGAAGAUAUCCGACGAAUUCUAAUAGUAGUUGGAGACACCAAAGCAAAAUAUUGGCGUUAGUAAUCACUUUGAUGAACAUAAAGCAUUCCCUGAUAAAGAUGUCAAAAAAAUGUUCUGUAAAUUACACAUCCUCAGGUCUGCAAAAUAGGCUUUUUGUGAAUGCACUCUAAGUAAAUUCAAGAAAUAGAUAUAUAAACAAUGAAUUAAAAAAAAGUGGAAGGUACACUCUAAGGGGUUGCUACCGUCUGAAAUCGUAACCAUGGUAACCGAUAUAAGCAAUUUUUUGACGCCCCAUAGUAUAAUACUGUCAAAUGACGCAAUUUUUUUUGAAAUAGCUAUUCCUAAAAUUCCUAGAAAAAAAAAAUUAAAGGUGGUUUUCACCUCACCGCGACAUCAAGCUAACUGCAUUUGUUUUGUUAUGGUGUAGUUUCAAAGCAAUUUACAAUACCUCUUCAAAGAAUGUCGUAUGUAUACUUUACAUUAAAAAUUCUUUUCAUAAUCCAACUUAAGGUUGAGUUAUUAAAAACAUCUUCAAAUAAAAGCACGAUGGCCAGCCAUAUUAAAUAAUCUGUUGAAAAGUUUCGAUCGAGAAAAACAGAAUUGUUGAAAGUUAAAUCAACAAAAUGAAUAUUGCAUCGAUACAGUGCCUGUUGGUCGCAAUUACUUUCUGUGUUACAUCGCCUACCACAGCAUACGAUCAGACCUUGAUUAAAUCGUUUUGCAUCACCAGCUUUGAUUGCUCUGUUGGAGAAUUUUGCUACCGGUAUCAAUGUAAAGGAGGAUUUGGGAAGAGGACAGUAGAGACGAGAUGUCAAAAGUAUGCAGAUUCUUGUGACUCAUCAGCGGACUGCUGUGGAAGCAAUUUUUGCUUAAGAAACAGAUGUGUAUAACAACCUAAACAGUGUAUUUUAUUAUUUUUAAGAAUACAUUCAUAUUGGCAGCA